UACGUAGGGGGCAAGCGUUGUCCGGAAUUAUUGGGCGUAAAGAGCUCGUAGGCGGUGUGUCGCGUCGGUCGUGAAAACUUUCAGCUUAACUGGGAGCUUGCGUUCGAUACGGGCAUCACUGGAGUUCGGCAGGGGAGACUGGAAUUCCUGGUGUAGCGGUGAAAUGCGUAGAUAUCUGGAGGAACACCGGUGGCGAAGGCGGCAUCCUGGACCGGUAUUGACGCUGAGGCGCGAAAGCCAGGGGAGCAAACGGG
Molecule: ribosomal RNA, 254 nt
Filed under: uncultured bacterium
Lineage: Bacteria
Description: partial 16S ribosomal RNA
Rfam family: Bacterial small subunit ribosomal RNA
Source: RNAcentral